Molecule: unclassified non-coding RNA, 348 nt
Filed under: soil metagenome
Description: partial contains 5.8S ribosomal RNA, internal transcribed spacer 2, and large subunit ribosomal RNA
Rfam family: 5.8S ribosomal RNA (bases 1-120)
Source: RNAcentral
GAUGAAGAACGUAGCGAAAUGCGAUAAGUAAUGUGAAUUGCAGAAUUCAGUGAAUCAUCGAAUCUUUGAACGCACAUUGCGCCCGCCAGUAUUCUGGCGGGCAUGCCUGUCUGAGCGUCAUUUCAACCCUCAUGCCCCUAGGGCGUGGUGUUGGGGAUCGGCCAAAGCCCGCGAGGGACGGCCGGCCCCUAAAUCUAGUGGCGGACCCGUCGUGGCCUCCUCUGCGAAGUAGUGAUAUUCCGCAUCGGAGAGCGAUGAGCCCCUGCCGUUAAACCCCCAACUUUCCAAGGUUGACCUCAGAUCAGGUAGGAAUACCCUCUGAACUUAAGCAUAUCAAUAAGCGGAGGA